Molecule: ribosomal RNA, 240 nt
Filed under: uncultured bacterium
Lineage: Bacteria
Description: partial 16S ribosomal RNA
Rfam family: Bacterial small subunit ribosomal RNA
Source: RNAcentral
GAUCCUGGCUCAGGAUGAACGCUGGCGGCGUGCCUAACACAUGCAAGUCGAACGGAGUCGUUUUGGAAAAUCCUUCGGGAUUGGAAUUCUCGACUUAGUGGCGGACGGGUGAGUAACGCGUGAGCAAUCUGCCUUCAAGAGGGGGAUAACAGUCGGAAACGGCUGCUAAUACCGCAUAAAGCAUCAAAUUCGCAUGUUUUUGAUGCCAAAGGAGCAAUCCGCUUUUAGAUGAGCUCGCGU